Molecule: transfer RNA, 72 nt
Filed under: Schistosoma bovis
Lineage: Eukaryota; Metazoa; Platyhelminthes; Trematoda; Strigeidida; Schistosomatidae
Also listed under: 1 other name
Description: tRNA-Ala
Source: RNAcentral
UGACAGUAUAUUUAAAGUUUUAUAAUGAUUACUCUGCGAGUAAAGGUUGAAUUUUGUUAGUUCUACUGUUAU